GACGAACGCUGGCGGCGUGCUUAACACAUGCAAGUCGAACGGUGACGAGGAGCUUGCUCCUCCGAUCAGUGGCGAACGGGUGAGUAACGCGUGAGUAACCUGCCCCAGACCCUGGGAUAACAGUUGGAAACAGCUGCUAAUACCGGAUACGAGACGGAGAGGCAUCUCUACCGUCUGGAAAGAUUUAUCGGUCUGGGAUGGACUCGCGGCCUAUCAGCUUGUUGGUGAGGUAAAGGCUCACCAAGGCGACGACGGGUAGCCGGCCUGAGAGGGCGACCGGCCACACUGGGACUGAGACACGGCCCAGACUCCUACGGGAGGCAGCAGUGGGGAAUAUUGCACAAUGGGCGAAAGCCUGAUGCAGCGACGCCGCGUGAGGGAUGACGGCCUUCGGGUUGUAAACCUCUUUCAGCAGGGAAGAAGCGAAAGUGACGGUACCUGCAGAAGAAGCACCGGCUAACUACGUG
Molecule: ribosomal RNA, 467 nt
Filed under: uncultured bacterium
Lineage: Bacteria
Description: bacterial SSU rRNA
Rfam family: Bacterial small subunit ribosomal RNA
Source: RNAcentral